Molecule: ribosomal RNA, 474 nt
Filed under: Clostridioides difficile
Lineage: Bacteria; Bacillati; Bacillota; Clostridia; Peptostreptococcales; Peptostreptococcaceae
Description: partial 23S ribosomal RNA
Rfam family: Bacterial large subunit ribosomal RNA
Source: RNAcentral
AAUCGUACGUAGAGUGUAAAGGCAAAAGAGAGCUUGAUUGCAAGACAUACAGGUCGAGCAAGGAUGAAAAUCGGACUUAGUGAUCCGGUGGUUCUGCGUGGAAGGGCCAUCGCUCAACGGAUAAAAGCUACCCUGGGGAUAACAGGCUUAUCUCCCCCAAGAGUCCACAUCGACGGGGAGGUUUGGCACCUCGAUGUCGGCUCAUCACAUCCUGGGGCUGUAGUAGGUCCCAAGGGUUGGGCUGUUCGCCCAUUAAAGUGGUACGCGAGCUGGGUUAAGAACGUCGUGAGACAGUUCGGUCCCUAUCCGUCGCAGGCGUAGGAAAUUUGAGAAGACCUGUCCUUAGUACGAGAGGACCGGGAUGGACGUACCUCUGGUGUACCAGUUGUUCUGCCAAGGGCAUGGCUGGGUAGCUAUGUACGGAAUGGAUAAGCGCUGAAAGCAUCUAAGCGCGAAGCCAACUUCAAGAUAAGA